Small nuclear RNA from Alosa alosa (allis shad), 106 nucleotides. NCBI's taxonomy places the organism in Eukaryota, Metazoa, Chordata, Actinopteri, Clupeiformes, Clupeidae. The record is from RefSeq and is a predicted model, not a curated record.
GUGCUUGCUACGGCAGCACAUGUACUAAAAUUGGAACGAUACAGAGAAGAUUAGCAUGCCCCUGCGCAAGGAUGACACGCAAUAUCGUGGAGCGUUACCAAUUUUU